UACGUAGGGUGCAAGCGUUGUCCGGAAUUAUUGGGCGUAAAGAGCUCGUAGGCGGUCUGUCGCGUCGGCUGUGAAAACUUGAGGCUCAACCCCAAGCCUGCAGUCGAUACGGGCAGACUAGAGUCCGGCAGGGGAGACUGGAAUUCCUGGUGUAGCGGUGAAAUGCGCAGAUAUCAGGAGGAACACCGGUGGCGAAGGCGGGUCUCUGGGCCGGAACUGACGCUGAGGAGCGAAAGCGUGGGGAGCGAACAGG
Molecule: ribosomal RNA, 253 nt
Filed under: uncultured bacterium
Lineage: Bacteria
Description: partial 16S ribosomal RNA
Rfam family: Bacterial small subunit ribosomal RNA
Source: RNAcentral